This 468-nucleotide ribosomal RNA is filed under the name uncultured bacterium. RNAcentral's name for it is "partial 16S ribosomal RNA". It matches the Rfam family "Bacterial small subunit ribosomal RNA", at positions 28 to 507 of the family's 1533-position model. The record is from RNAcentral.
GACGAACGCUGUCGGCGUGCUUAACACAUUCAAGUUGAACGGAAAGUCCCUGCUUUUUUGGGUUGUUCUAGUUGCGAACGUGUGUGUCACUCGUUAGUCACCUGCCCUUGACUUUGGGAUAACUUCAGGACACUGGGCCUCAUCCCCGAUAGGAGCUCCUGCUGCAUGGUGGGCGUUGGACAGUUUCGGCGGUUGGGGAUGGACUCGCGGCUUAUCAGAUUGUUGGUGGGGUAGUGGCUUACCAAGGUUUUGACGGGUAGCCGGCCUGAGAGGGUGACUGACCACAUUAGGACGGAGAUACGGACCAGACUCAUAAGGGAGGAAGGAGUCGGGAAUAUUGCACAAGGGGAGGAAGCCUGAUGCAGCAAUGCAGCGUGCGGGAUGAAGGCCUUCGGAUUGUAAACCGCGUACGGCUGUGACGAAGAGUGAGUGACGGUAAAGGGUAAAGAAGCAACGGCUAAAUACGUG